RNAcentral lists this ribosomal RNA (447 nucleotides) under uncultured bacterium. RNAcentral describes it as "bacterial SSU rRNA". It matches the Rfam family "Bacterial small subunit ribosomal RNA", at positions 328 to 792 of the family's 1533-position model. The record is from RNAcentral.
CUUCCAGACUCCUACGGGAGGCAGCAGUGGGGAAUAUUGCACAAUGGGGGGAACCCUGAUGCAGCGACGCCGCGUGGGUGAAGGAGCACCUCGGUGCGUAAAGCCCUAUCGGCAGGGAAGAAACAGACGGUACCUGACUAAGAAGCCCCGGCUAACUACGUGCCAGCAGCCGCGGUAAUACGUAGGGGGCAAGCGUUAUCCGGAUUUACUGGGUGUAAAGGGAGCGUAGACGGCAGUGCAAGUCCGGAGUGAAAGCCCGGGGCUCAACCCUGGGACUGCUCUGGAAACUGUAAAGCUGGAGUGCGGGAGGGGCAGGCGGAAUUCCUGGUGUAGCGGUGAAAUGCGUAGAUAUCAGGAGGAACACCGGCGGCGAAGGCGGCCUGCUGGACCGUAACUGACGUUGAGGCUCGAAAGCGUGGGGAGCAAACAGGAUUAGAUACCCCGGUA